AUGGACCCGGCCCAGGAGGAGCUCGAGCGCCGCAGCCGCUACCUCAGCUCGCUCGUCCGCCGCACCAGGCUCGACGACCCGCCCCAGCCGGAGCCGGAGCCGGAGCGAGAGCUCAAGGUGGAGCGGAAAUCGGCGGCGGAGCCCAGCGGCGGGGAGGGCAAGGCCGCUAAGCCGGAGGCCAAGGACAACAGGGAGGCGGCGAAGGUCAAAGGGGACGCCGCGAGCGGGGAGGGGAGGAAGGUGGCGGUGCGGGUGCGCGCGGCGGACAUGCCGCUGGCGCUGCAGCGGCGCGCGAUCUGGAUCGCCCGGGAGGUCGUCCUCUCCACGCCGCGCCUCGAGAGCAAGCGCCUCGCGCUCGCGCUCAAGAAGGAAUUCGACACGACAUACGGGCCUGCUUGGCACUGCAUUGUCGGCACAAGCUUUGGCUCCUACGUCACUCACUCCUUAGGAGGCUUCCUGUACUUUUCCGUUGACAAGGCGUACAUUCUUCUCUUCAGAACCGCUGUCGAGCCACUGAGUAAACCGUGA
Molecule: ribosomal RNA, 528 nt
Filed under: Triticum aestivum (bread wheat)
Lineage: Eukaryota; Viridiplantae; Streptophyta; Magnoliopsida; Poales; Poaceae
Description: partial small subunit ribosomal RNA
Source: RNAcentral